AAAAACAUGUCCUUUUGUUUAUUUAUAUAAGGUCUAGCCUGCCCAAUGAGUUUUUGAAUGGCCGCGGUAUUUUAACCGUGCUAAGGUAGCAUAAUCAUUUGUCUUUUAAUUAAGGGCUGGCAUGAAGGGCUGGACGAGGUAUAUACUUUCUUUAAUUUAAUAAGUGAAUUUAAUUUUUUAGUUAAAAAGCUUAAAUUCUUUUGUAGGACGAGAAGACCCUAUAGAUCUUUAUAUAAUAUUGUUAUUAAAUGGUUAUAGUUAAUAUUGUGUUUAAUAAUUAAUUGUAUUUUGUUGGGGUGACUGUAGAAUAUAAAUAACUUCUAUUAAUUAUAUUUCAUUAAUUGGUGUUUUAUUGAUCCAAUGUAUUAUUGAUUAAGAGAUUAAGUUACCUUAGGGAUAACAGCGUAAUUCUUUCGAAGAGUUCUUAUCGAUGAAAGAGAUUGCGACCUCGAUGUUGGAUUAAAAUGAGCGGUUAGGUGUAGUAGUUUACUUGCUAGGUCUGUUCGACCUUUAAUUUUUUACAUGAUCUGAGUUCAA
RNAcentral lists this ribosomal RNA (537 nucleotides) under Reduvius sonoraensis. RNAcentral's name for it is "partial 16S ribosomal RNA". It matches the Rfam family "Bacterial large subunit ribosomal RNA", at positions 1809 to 2614 of the family's 2925-position model. The record is from RNAcentral. Lineage: Eukaryota; Metazoa; Arthropoda; Insecta; Hemiptera; Reduviidae.